This 350-nucleotide ribosomal RNA is filed under the name uncultured bacterium. RNAcentral's name for it is "bacterial SSU rRNA". It matches the Rfam family "Bacterial small subunit ribosomal RNA", at positions 8 to 350 of the family's 1533-position model. The record is from RNAcentral.
AGAGUUUGAUCAUGGCUCAGGAUGAACGCUAGCUACAGGCUUAACACAUGCAAGUCGAGGGGCAGCAUGGUCUUAGCUUGCUAAGGCCGAUGGCGACCGGCGCACGGGUGAGUAACACGUAUCCAACCUGCCGUCUACUCUUGGACAGCCUUCUGAAAGGAAGAUUAAUACAAGAUGGCAUCAUGAGUCCGCAUGUUCACAUGAUUAAAGGUAUUCCGGUAGACGAUGGGGAUGCGUUCCAUUAGAUAGUAGGCGGGUAACGGCCACCUAGUCUUCGAUGGAUAGGGGUUCUGGAGAGGAAGGUCCCCCANAUUGGAACUGAGACACGGUCCAAACUCCUACGGGAGGCA